RNAcentral lists this ribosomal RNA (326 nucleotides) under uncultured bacterium. Its description in RNAcentral is "bacterial SSU rRNA". It matches the Rfam family "Bacterial small subunit ribosomal RNA", at positions 28 to 334 of the family's 1533-position model. The record is from RNAcentral.
GAUGAACGCUGGCGGCGUGCUUAACACAUGCAAGUCGAACGAAGCACCUUGAUUUGAUUCUUCGGAUGAAGAUCUUGGUGACUGAGUGGCGGACGGGUGAGUAACGCGUGAGGAACCUGCCUCAUACAGGGGGAUAACAGUCAGAAAUGGCUGCUAAUACCGCAUAAGCGCACAGUACCGCAUGGUACAAGUGUGAAAAACUCCGGUGGUAUGAGAUGGACCCGCGUCUGAUUAGCUGGUUGGUGGGGUAACGGCCUACCAAGGCGACGAUCAGUAGCCGACCUGAGAGGGUGACCGGCCACAUUGGGACUGAGACACGGGCCCAA